AGAAUCUGCCUAGAGGUCGGGGACAACCAUUGGAAACGAUGGCUAAUACCGGAUAUGCCUUACGGGGUGAAAGAUUAAUUGCCUUUAGAAGAGCUCGCGUCUGAUUAGCUAGUUGGUGAGGUAAGAGCUCACCAAGGCAGCGAUCAGUAGCUGGUCUGAGAGGAUGACCAGCCACACUGGGACUGAGACACGGCCCAGACUCCUACGGGAGGCAGCAGUGGGGAAUUUUCCGCAAUGGGCGAAAGCCUGACGGAGCAAGACCGCGUGAGGGAGGAAGGCUCUUGGGUUGUAAACCUCUUUUGUCAGGGAAGAACAAAAUGACGGUACCUGACGAAUCAGCAUCGGCUAACUCCGUGCCAGCAGCCGCGGUAAUACGGAGGAUGCAAGCGUUAUCCGGAAUUAUUGGGCGUAAGGCGUCCGCAGGUGGCUGAUCAAGUCUGCGGUCAAAGACCGGGGCUUAACCCUGGAAAGGCCGUGGAAACUGAUAGAGCUAGAGUACCGUAGGGGUAGAGGGAAUUCCCGGUGUAGCGGUGAAAUGCGUAGAGAUCGGGAAGAACAUCGGUGGCGAAAGCGCUCUACUGGACGGUGACUGACACUCAGGGACGAAAGCUAGGGGAGCGA
RNAcentral lists this ribosomal RNA (621 nucleotides) under uncultured cyanobacterium. RNAcentral describes it as "bacterial SSU rRNA". It matches the Rfam family "Bacterial small subunit ribosomal RNA", at positions 120 to 771 of the family's 1533-position model. The record is from RNAcentral. Lineage: Bacteria; Bacillati; Cyanobacteriota.